RNAcentral lists this ribosomal RNA (686 nucleotides) under Berosus pallidipennis. RNAcentral's name for it is "SSU rRNA". It matches the Rfam family "Eukaryotic small subunit ribosomal RNA", at positions 477 to 1119 of the family's 1831-position model. Lineage: Eukaryota; Metazoa; Arthropoda; Insecta; Coleoptera; Hydrophilidae. The record is from RNAcentral.
UAACGAUACGGGACUCANCCGAGGCCCCGUAAUCGGAAUGAGUACACUCUAAACCCUUUAACGAGGAUCAAUUGGAGGGCAAGUCUGGUGCCAGCAGCCGCGGUAAUUCCAGCUCCAAUAGCGUAUAUAAAAGUUGUUGCGGUUAAAAAGCUCGUAGUCGAAUCUGUGUCUCGCGCCGCCGGUGCAUCGCUCGCGGUGUUUAACUGGCGUGUCCGCGAGACGUCCUGCCGGUGGGCUUAGCCCGGCAACGGGCGGCCCAACUUGAAAUCCCACCGCGGUGCUCUUGAUUGAGUGUCGAGGUGGGCCGGCACGUUUACUUUGAACAAAUUAGAGUGCUUAAAGCAGGCUAAAACUUCGCCUGAAUACUGUGUGCAUGGAAUAAUGGAAUAGGACCUCGGUUCUAUUUUGUUGGUUUUCGGAACCCCGAGGUAAUGAUUAAUAGGAACGGAUGGGGGCAUUCGUAUUGCGACGUUAGAGGUGAAAUUCUUGGAUCGUCGCAAGACGGACAGAAGCGAAAGCAUUUGCCAAAAACGCUUUCAUUGAUCAAGAACGAAAGUUAGAGGUUCGAAGGCGAUCAGAUACCGCCCUAGUUCUAACCAUAAACGAUGCCAGCUAGCGAUCCGCCGACGUUCCUCCGAUGACUCGGCGGGCAGCUUCCGGGAAACCAAAGCUUUUGGGUUCCGGGG